RNAcentral lists this ribosomal RNA (488 nucleotides) under uncultured bacterium. Its description in RNAcentral is "bacterial SSU rRNA". It matches the Rfam family "Bacterial small subunit ribosomal RNA", at positions 28 to 507 of the family's 1533-position model. The record is from RNAcentral.
GAUGAACGCUAGCGGCAGGCCUAACACAUGCAAGUCGAGGGGCAUCAUGGCGUAGCAAUACGCUGAUGGCGACCGGCGCACGGGUGCGUAACGCGUAUGGAACCUACCCACCGCAGGGGGAUAACCCGCCGAAAGGCGGACUAAUACCCCAUGGUUCCCCGACCCUGCCUGGGGUUGGGGGUAAAGCCUACGGGCGGCGGUGGAUGGCCCUGCGUGCCAUUAGCUGGCUGGUGGGGUAACGGCCCACCAGGGCGACGAUGGCUAGGGGGUCUGAGAGGACGAUCCCCCACACUGGUACUGAGACACGGACCAGACUCCUACGGGAGGCAGCAGUGAGGAAUAUUGGUCAAUGGGCGGGAGCCUGAACCAGCCAAGUCGCGUGAAGGAAGAAGGAUCUAUGGUUCGUAAACUUCUUUUGCAGGGGAAUAAAGUGCAGGACGUGUCCUGUUUUGUAUGUACCCUGAGAAUAAGGAUCGGCUAACUCCGUG